RNAcentral lists this ribosomal RNA (446 nucleotides) under uncultured bacterium. RNAcentral's name for it is "partial 16S ribosomal RNA". It matches the Rfam family "Bacterial small subunit ribosomal RNA", at positions 338 to 795 of the family's 1533-position model. The record is from RNAcentral.
CCUACGGGAGGCAGCAGUAGGGAAUUUUCGGCAAUGGGGGGAACCCUGACCGAGCAACGCCGCGUGAACGAAGAAGUUAUUCGUAAUGUAAAGUUCUUUUAACAGGGAAGAAAGAAAAAUUUGACGGUACCUGAAGAAUAAGCUCCGGCUAACUACGUGCCAGCAGCCGCGGAAAUACGUAGGGCGCGAGGGUUAUCCGGAGUUAUUGGGCGAAAAGGGUGCGUAGAGGGCAUAGAAGGUCUUGUGUAAAAAUGCUGGGCUAAACCCAGUAGGGCAAAAGAUACUGCAAAGCUAGAGUAUGACAGAGGCAAGUGGAACUACAUGUGUAGCGGUAAAAUGCGUAAAUAUAUGUAAGAACACCAGUGGCGAAGGCGGCUUGCUGGGUCGAUACUGACAUUGAGGCACGAAAGCGUGGGGAGCAAACAGGAUUAGAUACCCUGGUAGUC